GCUGUUGUAGCUAAGUGGUUAGAGCAUUGGUCUGUGCACUCAAGGGUCUUGGGGUCGAUUCCCAGUUAAGGGCA
Molecule: transfer RNA, 74 nt
Filed under: Myotis davidii
Lineage: Eukaryota; Metazoa; Chordata; Mammalia; Chiroptera; Vespertilionidae
Rfam family: tRNA
About the family: Transfer RNA (tRNA) molecules are approximately 80 nucleotides in length. Their secondary structure includes four short double-helical elements and three loops (D, anti-codon, and T loops).
Source: Rfam by way of RNAcentral